This 72-nucleotide non-coding RNA is filed under the name Pseudocitrobacter vendiensis. Its description in RNAcentral is "Nucleoid-associated noncoding RNA 4 (CssrE)". It matches the Rfam family "Nucleoid-associated noncoding RNA 4 (CssrE)". Rfam says of the family: In E. coli small RNA transcribed from repeated extragenic palindromic element (REP325) called nucleoid-associated ncRNA 4 (nRNA4) collaborates HU protein in condensing the DNA. The secondary structure but not the sequence of the RNA is important in nucleoid condensation. Lineage: Bacteria; Pseudomonadati; Pseudomonadota; Gammaproteobacteria; Enterobacterales; Enterobacteriaceae. The record is from RNAcentral.
GGCCGGAUAAGGCGGUACGCCGCAUCCGGCAAGGGUGCCGAACUGCGCCUGAUGCGCUUUGCUUAUCAGGCC